UUGCUGCAAUUUACACAAGCAAAAAAGCGGAACGAGCAGAGACCGAAAGGGUGGUGGUACGACGGCAUGUACGGAAAAAGAGAUUCCGAGGUGUCAAAACAAAAUAAAAGAAUCAUGGAUUCAAUGGAUUCUGAGAGGCCAAGACAGAUAGCAAA
Molecule: long non-coding RNA, 155 nt
Organism: Saccostrea cuccullata (small rock oyster)
Lineage: Eukaryota; Metazoa; Mollusca; Bivalvia; Ostreida; Ostreidae
Exons: 3
Source: RefSeq, a predicted model, not a curated record